AUUGAACGCUGGCGGCAUGCCUUACACAUGCAAGUCGAACGGUAACAGGUCUUCGGAUGCUGACGAGUGGCGAACGGGUGAGUAAUACAUCGGAACGUGCCCAGACGUGGGGGAUAACGAGGCGAAAGCUUUGCUAAUACCGCAUACGAUCUAAGGAUGAAAGCAGGGGACCGCAAGGCCGUGGGCGGUUGGAGCGGCCGAUGGCAGAUUAGGUAGUUGGUGGGAUAAAAGCUUACCAAGCCGACGAUCUGUAGCUGGUCUGAGAGGACGACCAGCCACACUGGGACUGAGACACGGCCCAGACUCCUACGGGAGGCAGCAGUGGGGAAUUUUGGACAAUGGGCGAAAGCCUGAUCCAGCAAUGCCGCGUGAAGGAUGAAGGCCUUCGGGUUGUAAACUGCUUUUGUACGGAACGAAAAGGCUCUGGCUAAUACCUGGGGCACAUGACGGUACCGUAAGAAUAAGCACCGGCUAACUACGUG
This 482-nucleotide ribosomal RNA is filed under the name uncultured bacterium. RNAcentral's name for it is "partial 16S ribosomal RNA". It matches the Rfam family "Bacterial small subunit ribosomal RNA", at positions 30 to 507 of the family's 1533-position model. The record is from RNAcentral.